GACGAACGCUGGCGGCGUGCUUAACACAUGCAAGUCGAACGGAAAGGCCCUGCUUUUGUGGGGUGCUCGAGUGGCGAACGGGUGAGUAACACGUGAGUAACCUGCCCUUGACUUUGGGAUAACUUCAGGAAACUGGGGCUAAUACCGGAUAGGAGCUCCUGCUGCAUGGUGGGGGUUGGAAAGUUUCGGCGGUUGGGGAUGGACUCGCGGCUUAUCAGCUUGUUGGUGGGGUAGUGGCUUACCAAGGCUUUGACGGGUAGCCGGCCUGAGAGGGUGACCGGGCACAUUGGGACUGAGAUACGGCCCAGACUCCUACGGGAGGCAGCAGUGGGGAAUAUUGCACAAUGGGCGGAAGCCUGAUGCAGCAACGCCGCGUGCGGGAUGACGGCCUUCGGGCUGUAAACCGCUUUCGCCUGUGACGAAGCGUGAGUGACGGUAAUGGGUAAAGAAGCACCGGCUAACUACGUG
This 468-nucleotide ribosomal RNA is filed under the name uncultured bacterium. RNAcentral describes it as "partial 16S ribosomal RNA". It matches the Rfam family "Bacterial small subunit ribosomal RNA", at positions 28 to 507 of the family's 1533-position model. The record is from RNAcentral.